CUAAAAAUGUGACUAUAGUCAAUCACCCUGAUGAUGAAAGGAAAGCUAGCAGUGGUGCAGAGCUAAUUUCCAUUGACUUUCUGUUGCUGUUAUGGAGAAUAAUUCAGUGAUUAUCUAUAUGUAUUGAAAUAAUGCAGUAAAGGUGGCAGAUGCAUAUUAAAUACAACCAGUUUAGGAUUUUAAAUAGAGGAACUAGAGAUUUGAGAAGUGGAGUAAAAAAGACAAGAGAAUGAGAAGGAAGACUGAGUGUGCAAGCGAGAAGAGUAUGAAGGGGACCUGAGGAGGAGAUGCCUGAGCAGGAUCUGAGAUGGUUGACCUGAAUUUUUCUGAGUCCUCUUUUAUACAUCCAGAAGGCUACAUGCUGAGAAUCCACACUCAUUUUGCCAGGAUUGCAGAUGCCUGGACC
Gavialis gangeticus (Gharial) is the source of this 406-nucleotide long non-coding RNA. RefSeq lists it as uncharacterized. The record is from RefSeq and is a predicted model, not a curated record. The transcript is spliced from 3 exons. NCBI's taxonomy places the organism in Eukaryota, Metazoa, Chordata, Crocodylia, Gavialidae.